Molecule: unclassified non-coding RNA, 266 nt
Filed under: uncultured fungus
Lineage: Eukaryota; Fungi
Description: partial contains small subunit ribosomal RNA, internal transcribed spacer 1, and 5.8S ribosomal RNA
Rfam family: Eukaryotic small subunit ribosomal RNA (bases 1-73)
Source: RNAcentral
GCAAACUUGGUCAUUUAGAGGAAGUAAAAGUCGUAACAAGGUCUCCGUAGGUGAACCUGCGGAGGGAUCAUUCCCGAAGGGCCCCUCUGGGGCCUUUGACCCACAAACCACCGUGUGGAUCUUAGAUGUGGUUCGGCGCCCCUGUCUCUCGCAGGCGGUGACGUCGUGCUUAUGCGUAACUUUGGUUCUGCGUCUGAUUGAAAAGCAUAUGAGUGAAAACUUUCAACAAAGGAUCUCUUGGCUCUUGCAUCGAUGAAGAACGCAGC